GUUGUAUAGUCAAGUAAUUAAGUGCAUGUGGUGGAUGCCUUGGCAGUCAGAGGCGAUGAAAGACGUGAUAGCCUGCGAAAAGCUCCGGGGAGGCGGCAAAUAUCCUUUGAUCCGGAGAUGUCUGAAUGGGGGAACCCACCUACUUUAAGGUAGGUAUUGCAACAUGAAUACAUAGUGUUGCAAGGCGAACGAGGGGAAGUGAAACAUCUCAGUACCCUUAGGAAAAGAAAUCAAUUGAGAUUCCCUCAGUAGCGGCGAGCGAACGGGGAUCAGCCCAUUAAGUUAUGUGUGUUUUAGUGGAACGCUCUGGGAAGUGCGAACGUAGAGGGUGAUAUUCCCGUACACGAAAGGGCACACAUAAUGAUGACGAGUAGGGCGAGGCACGUGAAACCUUGUCUGAAUAUGGGGGGACCAUCCUCCAAGGCUAAAUACUCCUGACUGACCGAUAGUGAACCAGUACCGUGAGGGAAAGGCGAAAAGAACCCCUGUGAGGGGAGUGAAAUAGAUCCUGAAACCGCAUGCAUACAAGCAGUGGGAGCACCUUCGUGGUGUGACUGCGUACCUUUUGUAUAAUGGGUCAGCGACUUAUAUUCAGUAGCAGGUUAACCGUAUAGGGGAGCCGUAGAGAAAUCGAGUCUUAAUAGGGCGUUUAGUUGCUGGGUAUAGACCCGAAACCAGGCGAUCUAUCCAUGAGCAGGUUGAAGGUUGGGUAACACUAACUGGAGGACCGAACCCACUGUCGUUGAAAAGCCAGGGGAUGACUUGUGGAUAGGGGUGAAAGGCUAAUCAAGCCUGGUGAUAGCUGGUUCUCCCCGAAAGCUAUUUAGGUAGCGCCUCGGACGAAUACCAUAGGGGGUAGAGCACUGUUUCGGCUAGGGGGUCAUCCCGACUUACCAAACCGAUGCAAACUCCGAAUACCUAUGAGUACUAUCCGGGAGACAGACUGCGGGUGCUAACGUCCGUAGUCAAGAGGAAAACAAUCCAGACCGCCAGCUAAGGCCCCAAAAUCAUAGUUAAGUGGGAAACGAUGUGGGAAGGCAUAGACAGCUAGGAGGUUGGCUUAGAAGCAGCCACCCUUUAAAGAAAGCGUAAUAGCUCACUAGUCGAGUCGGCCUGCGCGGAAGAUGUAACGGGGCUAAAACUAUGUGCCGAAGCUGCGGAUUUACAUUAGUAAGUGGUAGGGGAGCGUUCUGUAAGCCGAUGAAGGUGUAUUGAGAAGCAUGCUGGAGGUAUCAGAAGUGCGAAUGCUGACGUGAGUAACGACAAAACGGGUGAAAAACCCGUUCGCCGAAAGACCAAGGGUUCCAGUCCAACGUUAAUCGGGGCUGGGUGAGUCGACCCCUAAGGCGAGGCCGAAAGGCGUAGUCGAUGGGAAAAUGGUUAAUAUUCCAUUACUUCUGUGUAAUGCGAUGAGAGGACGGAGAAGGCUAAAUCAGCCUGGCGUUGGUUGUCCAGGUGAAAGGAUGUAGGCAUGUAUCUUAGGCAAAUCCGGGGUACUCUAUGCUGAGAUCUGAUAGCAAGCUGUACUUGUACAGCGAAGUGGUUGAUGCCAUGCUUCCAGGAAAAGUCUCUAAGCUUCAGUUACACAGGAAUCGUACCCGAAACCGACACAGGUGGUCAGGUCGAGUAGACCAAGGCGCUUGAGAGAACUCUGCUGAAGGAACUAGGCAAAAUGGUACCGUAACUUCGGGAGAAGGUACGCUGUUGUUGGUGAUGGAACUCGCUUCCUGAGCUGACGACAGCCGCAGAAACCAGGCCGCUGCAACUGUUUAUUAAAAACAUAGCACUCUGCAAACACGAAAGUGGACGUAUAGGGUGUGAUGCCUGCCCGGUGCUGGAAGGUUAAUUGAUGGGGUUAGCGUAAGCGAAGCUCUUGAUCGAAGCCCCAGUAAACGGCGGCCGUAACUAUAACGGUCCUAAGGUAGCGAAAUUCCUUGUCGGGUAAGUUCCGACCUGCACGAAUGGCAUAAUGAUGGCGGCGCUGUCUCCAGCAGAGGCUCAGUGAAAUCGAAAUCGCUGUGAAGAUGCAGUGUACCCGCGGCUAGACGGAAAGACCCCGUGAACCUUUACUGCAGCUUGACACUGAACUUUGACCUUACUUGUGUAGGAUAGGUGGGAGGCUUUGAAGCUGGAACGCUAGUUCCAGUGGAGCCGUCCUUGAAAUACCACCCUGGUAAUGUUGAGGUUCUAACUCUGUCCCGUGAUCCGGGACGAGGACCGUGUCUGGUGGGUAGUUUGACUGGGGCGGUCUCCUCCUAAAGAGUAACGGAGGAGUACGAAGGUGCGCUCAGCGUGGUCGGAAAUCACGCGUAGAGUAUAAAGGCAAAAGCGCGCUUAACUGCGAGACCCACAAGUCGAGCAGGUACGAAAGUAGGUCUUAGUGAUCCGGUGGUUCUGUAUGGAAGGGCCAUCGCUCAACGGAUAAAAGGUACUCUGGGGAUAACAGGCUGAUACCGCCCAAGAGUUCAUAUCGACGGCGGUGUUUGGCACCUCGAUGUCGGCUCAUCUCAUCCUGGGGCUGAAGCAGGUCCCAAGGGUAUGGCUGUUCGCCAUUUAAAGAGGUACGCGAGCUGGGUUUAGAACGUCGUGAGACAGUUCGGUCCCUAUCUACCGUGGGCGCUGGAAAUUUGAGAGGAUCUGCUCCUAGUACGAGAGGACCAGAGUGGACGAACCUCUGGUGUACCGGUUGUGACGCCAGUCGCAUCGCCGGGUAGCUAUGUUCGGAAGGGAUAACCGCUGAAAGCAUCUAAGCGGGAAGCCUACCUCAAGAUAAGAUUUCCCUAGGACUUUAUGUCCUCUAAAGAGCCGUUCGAGACUAGGACGUUGAUAGGUUGGAUGUGGAAGCAUAGUGAUAUGUGAAGCUGACCAAUACUAAUUGCUCGUGAGGCUUGACUAUACAACACCCAAGCAGUUG
RNAcentral lists this ribosomal RNA (2914 nucleotides) under Acinetobacter baumannii. Its description in RNAcentral is "23S ribosomal RNA". It matches the Rfam family "Bacterial large subunit ribosomal RNA". Lineage: Bacteria; Pseudomonadati; Pseudomonadota; Gammaproteobacteria; Moraxellales; Moraxellaceae. The record is from RNAcentral.